GAUGAACGCUGGCGGCGUGCCUAAUACAUGCAAGUCGAACGCGCAGCGAGAGGUGCUUGCACCUUUCAAGCGAGUGGCGAACGGGUGAGUAACACGUGGAUAACCUGCCUCAAGGCUGGGGAUAACAUUUGGAAACAGAUGCUAAUACCGAAUAAAACUUAGUAUCGCAUGAUAUCAAGUUAAAAGGCGCUACGGCGCCACCUAGAGAUGGAUCCGCGGUGCAUUAGUUAGUUGGUGGGGUAAAGGCUUACCAAGACAAUGAUGCAUAGCCGGGUUGAGAGACUGAUCGGCCACAUUGGGACUGAGACACGGCCCAAACUCCUACGGGAGGCUGCAGUAGGGAAUCUUCCACAAUGGGCGCAAGCCUGAUGGAGCAACGCCGCGUGUGUGAUGAAGGCUUUCGGGUCGUAAAGCACUGUUGUAUGGGAAGAAAUGCUAAAAUAGGGAAUGAUUUUAGUUUGACGGUACCAUACCAGAAAGGGACGGCUAAAUACGUGCCAGCAGCCGCAGUAA
RNAcentral lists this ribosomal RNA (513 nucleotides) under uncultured bacterium. RNAcentral's name for it is "partial 16S ribosomal RNA". It matches the Rfam family "Bacterial small subunit ribosomal RNA", at positions 28 to 523 of the family's 1533-position model. The record is from RNAcentral.